GGGGGAUAUUGCACAAUGGAGGAAACUCUGAUGCAGCGACGCCGCGUGAGGGAAGAAGGUCUUCGGAUUGUAAACCUCUGUCUUCGGGGACGAAACAAAUGACGGUACUCGAGGAGGAAGCCACGGCUAACUACGUGCCAGCAGCCGCGGUAAUACGUAGGUGGCAAGCGUUGUCCGGAAUUACUGGGUGUAAAGGGAGCGCAGGCGGAGCUGCAAGUUGGGUGUUAAAUCUACGGGCUUAACUCGUAGUUGCAUUCAAAACUGUGGCUCUUGAGUAGUGCAGAGGUAGGCGGAAUUCCCGGUGUAGCGGUGGAAUGCGUAGAUAUCGGGAGGAACACCAGUGGCGAAGGCGGCCUACUGGGCACCAACUGACGCUGAGGCUCGAAAGUAUGGGUAGCAAAC
This 402-nucleotide ribosomal RNA is filed under the name uncultured bacterium. Its description in RNAcentral is "bacterial SSU rRNA". It matches the Rfam family "Bacterial small subunit ribosomal RNA", at positions 356 to 773 of the family's 1533-position model. The record is from RNAcentral.